GACGAACGCUGGCGGCGUGCUUAACACAUGCAAGUCGAACGAAGAGCGAUGGAAGCUUGCUUCUAUCAAUCUUAGUGGCGAACGGGUGAGUAACGCGUAAUCAACCUGCCCUUCAGAGGGGGACAACAGUUGGAAACGACUGCUAAUACCGCAUACGAUCUGACCUCGGCAUCGAGGAUAGAUGAAGGGUGGCCUCUACAUGUAAGCUAUCACUGAAGGAGGGGAUUGCGUCUGAUUAGCUAGUUGGAGGGGUAACGGCCCACCAAGGCGAUGAUCAGUAGCCGGUCUGAGAGGAUGAACGGCCACAUUGGGACUGAGACACGGCCCAGACUCCUACGGGAGGCAGCAGUGGGGAAUCUUCCGCAAUGGACGAAAGUCUGACGGAGCAACGCCGCGUGAGUGAUGACGGCCUUCGGGUUGUAAAGCUCUGUUAAUCGGGACGAAAGGCCUUUUUGCGAAUAGGGAGAAGGAUUGACGGUACCGGAAUAGAAAGCCACGGCUAACUACGUG
RNAcentral lists this ribosomal RNA (510 nucleotides) under uncultured bacterium. RNAcentral's name for it is "partial 16S ribosomal RNA". It matches the Rfam family "Bacterial small subunit ribosomal RNA", at positions 28 to 507 of the family's 1533-position model. The record is from RNAcentral.